Non-coding RNA from Xylariaceae sp. FL0594, 89 nucleotides. NCBI's taxonomy places the organism in Eukaryota, Fungi, Ascomycota, Sordariomycetes, Xylariales, Xylariaceae. The record is from the annotation of a GenBank genome assembly.
GCCCGGUUAGCGCAGUGGAUAAGCGACAGACUUGAUAAUACCUGAAAAAACAAUAUCUGUACACUUGGGUUCGAAUCCCAGUACCGGCA